CCACUUUCAGCAGCACACAUGCUACAAAUGUACAAUACAGAGAAUGUCAGCAUGGCCCCAGCACAGGAUUGACAUGCAAAUUUGUGGCAUGUUCCUUUUUUUU
Small nuclear RNA from Nycticebus coucang (slow loris), 103 nucleotides. NCBI's taxonomy places the organism in Eukaryota, Metazoa, Chordata, Mammalia, Primates, Lorisidae. The record is from RefSeq and is a predicted model, not a curated record.